GCACCGGUAUCACCGCGCGCAGGUACCUGCCUCGCGCGCCCCCCACACCUUGCGCCUGUCCCUCCCCGAGCGGGGCGGGGCUCGGCCGCUUCCUCCUCCCCAGAACCUCGGAGGGAACCAGCCGCCUACAAGCCCCAGCAGCCUGUGCGCUUCCGCCUCCCUUGUAAUAGGCAAGAACCAACCCCAAGGCUGCUGGGGGCUGUAGUCUGGGGAGCAGGCUGGGCGCCUAGCAGCAGAGAGGACUGAAGACGCCUGGCCCUGCCUAGCAACAGGCUGGGCCUAGAUAGGGUCCAGCCCUGCUGGAGUGACUGGGCCCAAGCCCCAGCCUGCCCACCACAACUUCUUCAGCAGACAGAGCAGCAGCUCAGGCCUAGUACUAGGCUUUGCAAUGCCCAUGCAGCCAGCUCUCUUUCCAUCUAUGAGUGCCCCCAUGAUGACAUAGGGGGGACUACAGGCCAUCUCCAUCCUCUGUAAAAGCAGCAAAGUAUCCAUCCUCUGGAUACUCCACAGCCUCCCUGCUGCUACAACUCCUCCCCUCUUGGGUGGGUGAGGGGGGGAAAUCAGGUCAUCCACAGCUUUGACCUUUGCUGUAGCCAGCUGGUCAGAAGGGAAUCACAGAGGUGAAGUAGGCUUGGGCUGUGUGAGGGGAUGCCACUGGUAGGCAUGCGGCUGGCAAGGCUUCUGGAAGUGCAGGACCCUAUACAGCUGCAUGGAAAACGUAGGGCUAAGGCUGCAACCAAAGCAAGUGGUGUGAGGGAGGCAGCCUUUGAAAGUCCUGGAUCUGUCCCUCACCUGUCAGUGGUGUGAAUCUAUGUGUUAAUUUAACAUUGUUUUGCUAUUGUAAUAUGAUUAAUAGAUUUGAUUCCCCUUCCUCACUCCUUUGCCUGACACUUCUCAGAAACAUGGAUCAAGCUCUGCUGUGAGACGAUUAACUAGUUUUCUUCUUUUUUCUAAUCACCUGUGCCUACAGCUGGUUCCACCUGUUACUAACCGUCACCAAAAAAAUAUCAGGGUUGAUGUGGAGAUAUAAAGAGGAGCAGGGGUGGGAUAGCCAUCAUCCAGCUGCCCAAGAGCAGAGAACUUUUGUCAUUUUACGUACACACAGGAGUAACACUUUCUAUGCUGCAUAUUCCUUAUAAUCUCUCAUUAGAGCAGCCAGCAAGUGGCAUAAGAAAAACAUGAAAAGUCUCCCUUCAGCAUAUUUGUUUGUAAUCCAUAAGGAUGUAUCCAAGGAAGAGGAAACUUGCUUGGUUAGUUCUGCCAAGAUCAGCAUAUACAUAUCAACCCAAGGAAAAUCAGGAGGAACAGAGGUGUUCAAUUCUGCUUUGGUGUACAUCAGAUGCAUUGUCCUGGGAACAUCCCUGCAAGAUUCCUAAACAGAAGUUUGGAACAACUACAGGAGGGAGUGUCCAGUGAUUCCCUCCCAGAUUUUACACUGAACCUGGUGGUUGCCAGGAAAGGACUUUGGGAAUGUGGUCAGUGCUAUGCGAAUAUGCAUAUAGCACAACACAGCCUAUAGUUGAUGUACCUCACUAGCAAGUGUUCUUACAGAGUUUUCAUGUACCCUUAUCAAAGUGGCAGUGUGAUUACACAGAGCCAUUUUAAGGGGCGUGUAUAAGCCUGGAAAGUUCCCCACAAUAGUGGGACCCUUCCGCCACUUACACUAGGAGCGGGGUCAGUGGCCGCCCUGCCCGUCCGGAGAGUGAAAUGAACCGGUUCCUCCCCCCACAGCCCGGCUGUUCUGGACAUAAGUGGCUCUGCUCUGGUGACUCCCGAUAAAAAGAAAAAAAAAGUCUCAUUGCCUUAAUUUAAGGAGGUGCCCAGUAACCUAGAAUAGUUUUCAGAUUCCAGUUUGCAGGGCAAGGAAUUAGACGAAUGGGUGCUCUAGAAGUAUUUCCUAGCACCAAGGAAUGAAGCACUUGGCCAGGUUGCUCUCUAAUGACAUACCCUGACUCACAGGAUCACUCAGAACAGCAGUAACUUGCAAUGGAAGUGGCAUUCCAAGUUAGUAUGCAUUUCCAGGAAGAAAUAAUACGUGAAGCUGUGGAUCCCCUCCCACUCCUCCCUCUGGCUAGAUGAUCAACAGCUACAUAUAGCUCACAUAUAGUGGCUACACUCAGAACCUACCCUUCUUUAGCUACCUUUCCCUUCCAUGCAGCCCACUUGCCUUUCCCUGUAUGAUCACAAACUUUCUGCUUUCCAGUAUGAUGCAAAAAAGCAAAGCAAUCAUAAGGAUGUAAAAGCUAACAAUAUCUUGGCUUAAUAACAAUGAAGCGGUGGCAUAAUAGCCAUUAAGUAUCUGAAAGGUGUAAACACAAGGGGGGUAUUUAAGAUAAUAUAACUAGGAAUAAGGGGAUAAACAUUAAGAAAAGGGAGAAUUUAUACUUAAUAUCAGGAAAAUUGUUCUGACUAUUCCACCAUGAAAAGGUUACAAAAUAAUCUCCCAAGGAAAUGGUGGAACACCAAUCAUUUGAAACUCUUAUAAAUAGACUGAAAAAAGCACCAGAAAACAUACUGCAGGGAACAAUCCUGCAUAGGCCUAUUUCUAUCACCUGAAAAAGGUCUAUGAUAAUACUUUGCCCUUAUAUAAUAGUCCUCAGACAACCCCAAAAUACUUUAACAUGAAUCAAGCCUCAGACUAAAGCUCCAAGUCCCAUUCAUUCCAUAAUUCUGCAGUUGAAGAAUUUGACACAGAAUCUACCCCUUGCUGGAAAAUUGUGCUCCAGAUUUUUCAGUUGAAAUGAAGUGGCCACAAAAUAUUAUUCAUCCCAAUAUAAAUGUGGCUCUUCUUGUUAACCAUACAUUUUUUUUCUGAAUCCUGCUAAGUAGUUGGUCUUGAUAUCUUCUGGUAUUGAGUUCCACAGGUUAAUUAUAUGCAAUAUUAAAAUGUAUUUCCUUUUAGAAGUUUUUUUUUGCCUUUAAAUUCCAUUAGAUAUCACUUGUUCACAUGUGCUUUGUCUAUUUUAUGUAUAAUUAAGUAUAGCUCUAUCAUGUCACUUCUGAUUCCGCUCCUUUCUAAAUAGUCCCAAUUGUUUCUCUCUUGUCAAAUGGAUAAGAUUAUUAAUAUUUUCCUUCUUAGUCACCUUCUGAUUCCCACCUCUAUUUCUGCAAAAAUAGUGAGAU
Molecule: long non-coding RNA, 3123 nt
Organism: Mauremys mutica (yellowpond turtle)
Lineage: Eukaryota; Metazoa; Chordata; Testudines; Geoemydidae
Exons: 3
Source: RefSeq, a predicted model, not a curated record